ACGCUGUGGACCCCUCUGAAUUGGCGAGUACUCGUAAAUAUACGUGACUUAGCCAAUCACAUCACUGGAGGCGGGGUUUAUCAGAACACAAUUGGCGUGCAGAGAGGCGCUUUCUCGACUUGCUCGCGCUUGUUUAGAAUCAACAUAGCGGCUUGCUGAGCGACUCACCGGACUACCGCCCCCUGCUGUGCUGAGGCGUGAACACGGAAUCUCUUCAAUAGGGGGACGUGUACAGCGGACGCUCUACUGAUAAUAAACAGAUUAAAAAUGUGUGUGAAGGAGAGAUGUCUUUAUGUUACACGUAUGGAAGGAGUCUCCAGUGUCAGCGCUUUGUAACAGUCAGAGAAGUGACCUGGCCAAGAUGAGCAGCCACGGAAGUUCUCACAAUUACAGUUCGUCUGCACAUCUUCUAGAGACCCCUAAAACAAAGCCUGUUUGAACUGCCUCAAACUGCUUCUUAUCGGUACACAGAAAGGACGAGUCUGCGAGUGUCUAAUUCCCACGACAAUUUGGCGUCUCCUGGUUGGGCUGCGCAAGACUUUUCAGCUUUUCUGCAUAACAAGCAAACCGGAGUACGCCCAUGGAAAAGUUUCACCCUGAAGUCCGUGUUGACACGCAGGCAAUGUGCCCUUUGUUAUGCAGAGUGAAAGACCGAUGCAGCCUUACCACUGACUGAACAACAAAUAACUGCAACCUGAUGAACUUAAGCAGCAAGUACAAGCCUGGAGUCUGAAUCCAAACCUCUCCCCGGUUCCAUGGUUGGAAAAAACUUUUCCACACUGCACUACACCUCCACAAAGCACUAGCCAAAUGCGGAGCAAAUUUCAUGCAGGAACAUGCACAAGCGCCGACUAGUUCACCAAGGACAAGCCCAAAAAUCAGAUCCCAUCAGAUACAAGCCGUCAAUCCAGGCACAUGCGACAAGUCCAAAGAGAUCCCAUGCAGCUCCACAGUGGCCUCCGAUCAUCCACUCAGACAAAAACACAGAUCGGAGCUGCUCACCGAUAUUAUCAAAAUCAAAAGCAAAAACGUCAUCUUAAAAACAAAGAAUAUAUUAAAGAAAUGUGAGCUUAAAGCGAAGAAUAAACAAUUUCCAAACAAACAGACUAUCACGCUACUGCUGCGCCAUCUUGGAUUGAAAAUAAGAGAAUAACUAACUCGUUUCACAGACAUUAAAUGUAACUCUAAACAGAUAAAAUGUACGGCAUGUCAUUGUAUAAGAAUAAAUAGUCAUAGAUAGUAGGUUGCUGUGGUUUAAGAGGAAUAAAACAUUCAGAGACGUGCUGUUAGAGGAAAAUAAUCAACGUUCAGAGUGAUAACAGUGUCUCUGCCCCCUCACUCAGUAUUGUACUGUCACACAGUCAUAGUGAACAUGUGGUUAUUAUUUUAUUCAUGAUCAGGUUUCCAGGAUUCUGGAUUUUUGCGUAAACACAGAUCAGUUGUUUACAGCUUACACCACGACGCCUGUUACGCUACACUUAUUACACAACACCAGUACGGGUAUAAUCACACCGUCAGAUUACAGAGAGUUUCAUUAACGUCCCGCUGACGAGAUAAGGUAAAGCACAACACCAACAUGCUUCUGUUCCAGGACAUCGCUGUUACACUAAUCACACGUCCUCUCUAAGGGUUUCGGGAGGUGUAGAGGUUGAUUGCUGAUGUUUAUCAGAUGCUGGCUGUUCAUCGUGUGUCUUCAUCACAUGUCUCUCUUUCGAUCUUCACCGGCGUGGUGGACUUGCGUGAUUUCUUUCUGGCUGUUGCACCAUUGACUCCUUUACACUCCUUCUGAUUGGUCCAGAGAUGAGUGGAAGCCCCACCCCCUGACAUUUUAUCUUGAUCUAUCAUUUCCAUGUAAUUAUUCAUGUUAACAAAAGCACAAAAGCUUGAUGUGGUAACAGGUGCUAGCAUAGCCAUAUUGGAUCUUUUCACUUCCUGUAUGAUUUUCACCGGAGAUGUGGAGGACUGGGACAGAGCCCAGUGAUUUGUCAUGGAGUGUGUGUGGUGUGUUGAGUGUGUGUGGUGCGUGUUGUGUAGGCGUGGGUUCGGAUUAGCGCUGUGUCUGUUGCGGCUCCUCAGUGAGCUGAACAGCAUGUUGCAGCCCUCGACGGUGCAGCAGUGUUUGAUUUUAAGAUGCACGGCGUUGUAGUGGAUCUUCAGCGUACCCCUGUCGUAGAACGUUUUCCCGCACGAGCCGCAGCUCACGCGAGACUUACGCACAGAAGACGAGCACAGACGCUGGUCCUUCGCUCCUGAGGAAAAGGAGAAAACGCAAGAACAAGGUUGGCGUGGAGUCUCAAGCUUUGCUAAUCUGACAAGUGAUGAUGGCGGCUCGCUACACUCCUCUACACCUCCUGAAAGGUUUUCUGAAUGGCUCGAUCCGGGUGACCUUUGACCUCUGAUGAUUCCGUUCGUCUUUAGAUUAUGACCUGUGUUGAAAAAGCCGUUAUGUUUUGUCGUUUCUGAGCCAUUUGUUGGAAGUGGAAGCUGCUCGCGCUGCGAGAUCAUCAGUUCUGCGCUGGAUUUAGUUUCACCGAAACGUAAAAACUGACGCAGCGUCACGAGUUCGUCUUCAGGUGUCAUGAUCAGCCAGCGAUCCAAAACCUUCCCUGACGAGUCCUGCACAGAGAACACACGCAAAGUGGAGCAAGAAAUAAACAUUUCAAUAGAUCUGAGGAGAAGAACAGCAUUAUCUGGUUUAUGGUGUUCCUCAGAGCUCAGCACUCGGGACCACUGUUAUUCUCUUCUUCCGCUUUUAUCCUGUGUGUGUGUGUGUGUGUGUGUGUGUGUGUGUGUGUGUGUGUGUCUACCUGCAGCUUGUAUCCUCGGAUGUAAUCAUGCAGUGUCCAGCCAUGUGUGUGUAGGACGUCGAGGACAUGUUGGUGUGUGAGGACACUGAAGAGCCGGUCCAGAAGAAUCUUCAUCCUGAUAGGAAACGCGUGUGUGCUGAACAGGAUCAGCGCGCUGAGGUCACACACCACGCCCGAGUGAACAACCUCCACCUGAUUUGAACACACACUCAGCUUACUGAGAGCUACACACACACACACACACGAGAGAGAGAGAGAGAGAGAGAGAGAGAGAGAGAGAGAAACACAAAUAGGAAACAAGUUCACAUUUGUUAGUGAUGGAGAUUCCGUCUCUCUCUCACACACACACACACACACACACAAAAACACACACACACACCAUGCAUGACCCAUCCGUGUUUGCAGCGGUCACAUGACCUCAGGUUGAGUUGUUCAGGCAGGAAACAGCUGCAGCUGCAGUUGACUUGUGAACACCUGAGCACCUGAGUAAAAAUAACAUUUUAAUGUUUUAUUUUUUUUAUUUAUUGCCAAUCCAACCCCCCCCUUACUCUGCAAA
Ictalurus furcatus (blue catfish) is the source of this 3363-nucleotide long non-coding RNA. RefSeq lists it as uncharacterized. The transcript has 7 exons. Lineage: Eukaryota; Metazoa; Chordata; Actinopteri; Siluriformes; Ictaluridae. The record is from RefSeq and is a predicted model, not a curated record.